UACGAAGGGGGCUAGCGUUGUUCGGAAUCACUGGGCGUAAAGCGUGCGCAGGCGGUCUUUUAAGUCAGAUGUGAAAUCCCCGGGCUUAACCUGGGAACUGCGUUUGAAACUGGAAGGCUAGAGUGUGGCAGAGGGGGGUGGAAUUCCGCGUGUAGCAGUGAAAUGCGUAGAGAUGCGGAGGAACACCGAUGGCGAAGGCAGCCCCCUGGGCUGACACUGACGCUCAGGCACGAAAGCGUGGGAGCAAACAGG
Molecule: ribosomal RNA, 252 nt
Filed under: uncultured bacterium
Lineage: Bacteria
Description: partial 16S ribosomal RNA
Rfam family: Bacterial small subunit ribosomal RNA
Source: RNAcentral